Long non-coding RNA from Pogoniulus pusillus (Red-fronted tinkerbird), 174 nucleotides. RefSeq lists it as uncharacterized. The record is from RefSeq and is a predicted model, not a curated record. The transcript has 3 exons. Lineage: Eukaryota; Metazoa; Chordata; Aves; Piciformes; Lybiidae.
GGAUGUGAAGGUCGCUGGGGACUCUUCCUGGCAUUGUAGGUGUGAGACGUGAAGGAUGUGAGAAAAGGUUCAUGGAAGAGUUAUUCUCUCUAGCAUAGAAUCAACCUCCAAGAUCACCCAGAUGGAUAAAAAUAGGGAACAGGGACAUGAACAACCAGGAGGAACAACUCAAGC